Molecule: ribosomal RNA, 447 nt
Filed under: uncultured bacterium
Lineage: Bacteria
Description: bacterial SSU rRNA
Rfam family: Bacterial small subunit ribosomal RNA
Source: RNAcentral
GGGCUUGCGUCCGAUUAGCUCGUAGGUGGGGUAACGGCCUACCAAGGCUGAGAUCGGUAGCUGGUCUGAGAGGAUGAUCAGCCACACUGGGACUGAGACACGGACCAGACUCCUACGGGAGGCAGCAGCAGGGAAUAUUGCGCAAUGGGCGAAAGCCUGACGCAGCAACGCCGCGUGGGGGAAGAAGGCCUUCGGGUUGUAAACCCCUUUUCUCGGGGAAGUGACGGUACCCGAGGAAUAAGCCUCGGCUAACUACGUGCCAGCAGCCGCGGUAAGACGUAGGAGGCGAGCGUUAUCCGGAUUUACUGGGCGUAAAGGGCGUGUAGGCGGCUCUUUAAGUCUGUGGUGAAAUCUCCCGGCUCAACCGGGAGGGUGUCAUAGAAACUGGGGAGCUUGAGGCCAGCAGAGGGAGGUGGAAUUCCCGGUGUAGUGGUGAUAUGCGUAGAU